RNAcentral lists this ribosomal RNA (113 nucleotides) under Candidatus Altimarinota bacterium. Lineage: Bacteria; Candidatus Altimarinota. The record is from RNAcentral.
UCUGGUGUCUAUUCCGAAUUGGUCACACCCGUUCCCAUCCCGAACACGGCAGUUAAGCAAUUCAGGGCCGAUGAUAGUAGCCAUUGGGCUGCAAAAGUAGGUCGACGCCAGAA